RNAcentral lists this ribosomal RNA (497 nucleotides) under uncultured bacterium. Its description in RNAcentral is "partial 16S ribosomal RNA". It matches the Rfam family "Bacterial small subunit ribosomal RNA", at positions 28 to 507 of the family's 1533-position model. The record is from RNAcentral.
GAUGAACGCUGGCGGCGUGCCUAAUACAUGCCAGUCGAGCGAACGGACGAGAAGCUUGCUUCUCUGAUGUUAGCGGCGGACGGGUGAGUAACACGUGGAUAACCUACCUAUAAGACUGGGAUAACUUCGGGAAACCGGAGCUAAUACCGGAUAAUAUUUUGAACCGCAUGGUUCAAAAGUGAAAGACGGUCUUGCUGUCACUUAUAGAUGGAUCCGCGCUGCAUUAGCUAGUUGGUAAGGUAACGGCUUACCAAGGCAACGAUGCAUAGCCGACCUGAGAGGGUGAUCGGCCACCCUGGAACUGAGACACGGUCCAGACUCCUACGGGAGGAAGCAGUAGGGAAUCUUCCGCAAUGGGCGAAAGCCUGACGGAGCAACGCCGCGUGAGUGAUGAAGGUCUUCGGAUCGUAAAACUCUGUUAUUAGGGAAGAACAUAUGUGUAAGUAACUGUGCACAUCUUGACGGUACCUAAUCAGAAAGCCACGGCUAACUACGUG